GAACCGAAACAAGUGCCUGGUAGAUGCCCGAAAGAGGAGCACAAGGGGAGUGACGACCAGCCAAGUGCCCCACCAGCCGUAGCCAAUGCGUCGUCCAAUCAUCAGCUGAAGGUCCUGCACAGUUCGACCAGCGCCUUCAAGGAAAAAAACCCCAUUUCCUAGAUCCCUGUGCACCGUCUACUUACAUCCGUCCCAAAGAUGAUUGUUGCCAAGAAGGAAAUGAAACAUAUGAAGAAAGUGACCCAGCCUCUGCGACCACGCAACUCUGCAAAUUCGUCUAAGAUGCACAGUACUGGAGUCUCUAAAUAAGCAAAC
This is a long non-coding RNA of Penaeus monodon (black tiger shrimp), 315 nucleotides long. RefSeq lists it as uncharacterized. The record is from RefSeq and is a predicted model, not a curated record. Lineage: Eukaryota; Metazoa; Arthropoda; Malacostraca; Decapoda; Penaeidae. The transcript is spliced from 3 exons.